RNAcentral lists this ribosomal RNA (391 nucleotides) under uncultured bacterium. RNAcentral describes it as "bacterial SSU rRNA". It matches the Rfam family "Bacterial small subunit ribosomal RNA", at positions 29 to 416 of the family's 1533-position model. The record is from RNAcentral.
AUUGAACGCUGGCGGCAUGCCUUACACAUGCAAGUCGAACGGUAACGCGGGGGCGAACCCUCGGCGACGAGUGGCGAACGGGUGAGUAAUACAUCGGAACGUACCCAGUAGUGGGGGAGUAGCUCGGCGAAAGCCGGAUUAAUACCGCAUACGACCUAUGGGUGGAAAGCGGGGGAGUCGCAAGACCUCGCGCUAUUGGAGCGGCCGAUGUCGGAUUAGCUAGUUGGUGAGGUAAAGGCUCACCAAGGCUACGAUCCGUAGCUGGUCUGAGAGGACGACCAGCCACACUGGGACUGGGACACGGCCCAGACUCCUACGGGAGGCAGCAGUGGGGAAUUUUGGACAAUGGGCGAAAGCCUGAUCCAGCCAUGCCGCGUGUGUGAAGAAGGCC